Molecule: Y RNA, 101 nt
Filed under: Echinops telfairi (small Madagascar hedgehog)
Lineage: Eukaryota; Metazoa; Chordata; Mammalia; Afrosoricida; Tenrecidae
Description: Y RNA (ENSETEG00000022684.1)
Rfam family: Y RNA
About the family: Y RNAs are components of the Ro ribonucleoprotein particle (Ro RNP), in association with Ro60 and La proteins. The Y RNAs and Ro60 and La proteins are well conserved, but the function of the Ro RNP is not known. In humans the RNA component can be one of four small RNAs -- hY1, hY3, hY4 and hY5.
Source: RNAcentral
GGCGGGUCCGAAGGUACUGAGAUCUCACAACGAUUGCUUAGGUCAAUUAUUGGUCACCUAUUUGUCUACCCCCCCUCACUACUGCACUUGACUAGUCUUAA